Molecule: long non-coding RNA, 480 nt
Organism: Paramacrobiotus metropolitanus
Lineage: Eukaryota; Metazoa; Tardigrada; Eutardigrada; Parachela; Macrobiotidae
Exons: 4
Source: RefSeq, a predicted model, not a curated record
GUUCUUCGGACAAAAUCGAUUCUGUUGUGCUGGAAACGGUAAGUCUUCAGCCUUUUUACGACUUCGUUUGAUAUAUUUCUUGGCAAACGCUAAAAAAUUUGUAGAACCGAUGUCCUGAAGAACAUCGUGCGAGUAAUCUGGAACAACAAGUGUAUUGGUUGAAGGUGGUGUACCGCAAAAAACUGAUGAAGCAUGUAGCGUGCUCCCGCUCAGCAACACCUGAAGAAUUGCAAAGAAAAAUUGAUCAGUUGGUUCGAAAUCCACGAACUCACUUACUGAAACUCCAGGGAUCAUAUUCUGUCGCGGAGUUGGAGAAAUGUCUUCACGAUAAGGUGUUGAAGCUCCAGGAGUUUAAACAGACACGAUGCAAGGUGGUUUGCUGGAGUGAAGGGAAGGUUUUGAACAGCAAUGCCUUAGUAAGUGACUUGAUGGAGAAAAGUUCACAGGAAGGAGGCUUAGUUAAGGUAAAAAAUCUGAAGC